This 253-nucleotide ribosomal RNA is filed under the name uncultured bacterium. RNAcentral describes it as "partial 16S ribosomal RNA". It matches the Rfam family "Bacterial small subunit ribosomal RNA", at positions 524 to 776 of the family's 1533-position model. The record is from RNAcentral.
UACGAAGGGGGCUAGCGUUGCUCGGAAUCACUGGGCGUAAAGGGUGCGUAGGCGGGUCUUUAAGGCAGAGGUGAAAUCCUGGAGCUCAACUCCAGAACUGCCUUUGAUACUGAGGAUCUUGAGUACGGGAGAGGUGAGUGGAACUGCGAGUGUAGAGGUGAAAUUCGUAGAUAUUCGCAAGAACACCAGUGGCGAAGGCGGCUCACUGGCCCGUAACUGACGCUGAGGCACGAAAGCGUGGGGAGCAAACAGG